GGAAGAGUUGGGGGGCGGGGAGGGGAGGGCUGGGAAACAAGGAAUACUACACAGCAGUUAAAAACGAAUAAGGUGUGUACACACACAGGGAAGAGCUACAAGAUAUACUGCUGAGUGAAUACUGAAAACACUGAAAUAUUUGAUCUCCUCCAACUCUGAAUGCCACAGAGUCCAUGGAAUCAGGGACAAGGCUGGUGGCUGGACCUGGGAUUAAGUCCUAAGGAGAUCAGCUGACCGAGUUCACUGCCUUGCAAAUACUCACACCCACAAGAAAAGGAAGGUCACACUUCCCUCUAGGCCUCCAGGCAGUAUCCAUCUUAUGACCCGGUUUCCAGUCUGACUUUGUUUCCACAGUACCUUGAAAAUACUUGUACUGGUUUCAAGACAAAAAAAAAAAAAAUCAAAUGAGCAUUCCUCAGUUUCCAGCCCCCAGCCUAUGAUAACCCAGGAAGAACACUGCAUGUAUACAGAGUUACAAACUGAAGAACUAUGGGCUCUUUCUGGCUACAAAUUUCACCCAUAGGAUGUUUAAAAUACUUCUGAAUUCACUGCUUACAUCUAAAAAUCCAGGAAAUUUCCUUACAAAGUCCAAAAAUGUAUUUGGCAGCAAUGGUCCCACACGAUGCAACACCCGGCAGGAUGCUGAGGGCGGGGUGGUCCUUUAUUUAAGGUAUGUACCCUCCCAGAGGAUAAGAUGGUUAGAUAGCAUCACAGACUCAAUGGACAUGUAUUUGAGCAAACUCUGGUAGAUAGUGGAGGACAGAGAAGCCUGGUGGACUGCAGUCUCUGGGGUCGCAAAGAGUUGGACACAACUCAAGUGACUGAACAACAGGCCUCCCAGGGGUGGUUGGAGUCCUAUCCCUCAGAGACAACCAAGCCCAAACUCAACACAGAGGAAGACAUCACUGCUCAGAGAGGUGAGAAAACUUGCCCGAGGUCACAGAGCAAACUAGUGACAGGAUGGGAAGCAGGACUCGGCAUUCCUUACAUCAAGGCCUGUGUCCCUUCUACCUGCCAGGCUGCACUUCCUCUUGUUCAGAACCAGGCACAGCCUUAGAAAGUAGAUGAUCCACGUGACGGCUGACUAGAACAAGGCUUCUGGGAUCACCCUGAGUCCAGAGCAAAAUGCAACUCAGGCAGAAGUGACGCCUCAGACGACACAGGGGCGCAAGCACACAGCACCAUAAUUAGCCCAGACCUGGUCAUAGGAGCACCUCUUGUGCAAUGUUAUUCUUUGCUUCAUGGUUUCCACAUCCAGAAGACCAAUACUUCCCUAAAAAUCAAUUGUCCCCAGCAACCCACCUACACAGUUCUUGGAAAAUAUGGGUUAAGCAUUCUGCCUCACACACACUAAAAAAAAAAAAAAAAGGAAGAACAAAGAGGGUGGGAAAAAUUCAUCACCACAGUCCUGUGUACUUUUCAUUAUUUGUUUUUCGAGUCACCAAGUUCAAAUGACCCUGUUCCUUGGAGUUUCAGAACUAUUUUUACCAACACUUGCUAGAAAGGAGGUUUCACAGGUUUUAAUAAAUGCUAUUACUGGCUGUCAAGAGACACUACAUGGCUUCAAGAGGCUGGAGGUUUAGGGAACGGAAGGUGGCCUGGCAGGAAGAUGAGGCUGAGAUAAUCUGUUCCUGAUGCAGGGAAUGAACAGCUGAUUCCAUUCUGUUGCCCGGGGGAGGUGAGACACAGGAAUUGCAAAACAUCAGUCAGAUAAAUAAGUGGCUCCAUUGGGAUCAUUUCCCAACCUUCCAGAACAAACAAGGAGAUAGAUGGGUCUGGCUUUAAGAAGAGGCAGCAUCCAGUGAUGGGGAAUGCCCAGCGCAUGGCUCCAGUUUAUCACCAGCAUAUUCCCCAUGAUCACAGGCCCUCCUUGUAGCAUCUUCAUGCCCAGGGGAGCACAGGGUGUGUGGAAAGUGCUGAAUAAGUAAGUGUUGAGCAAUAAUGCUGCUCAAGUCUGCAUGGGGAGAAGACAGGAAGGAGACUCCUGGAGAGCCCUGGAGCUCAAAGGAAACUUCUUCCAUGGUGCGUGCUAUGUCAUGUCUGACUCUUUGCAACCUCCUGGACUGUAGCCUGCCAGGCUUCUCUGUCCAUGGGAUCCUCCAGGCAAGAAUACUGGAGUGGGUUGCCAUGCCCUCCUCCAGGGGAUCUUCCCGGCCCAGGGAUCAAAUCCACGUUUCCUGCGUCUCCUGCAUUGGCAGAUGGAUUCUUUAUAUACCCCUGAGCUACCUGGAAAACCCCCAUCAGAGAUUCUAGUGCCAGAGUCUGGGUGCGGUCAGCAGUCACUGAAAGUUAAUGAAUAUGCAAUCAGUAUGGAGUAAGCACUCAGUAAGCACCACUGGAUGACUGAUGGACCCAUCAAUUAGCGGGAUGACUGAGCACAGUGAAAACAUUCCAAGUUAUAUAGCUGUCACCUUCCCGUUUAUGGUCAACAGGGAUUUUCAGACGGACACCGAAGAACCCUGACCGCACUGUGCACCUCUGGGCAGCCUCUCACUCCUCCAUCCAGAGGGCAUGGGGGCAGUGGCAGGGUUCCUCUGAGUGCCAGGGGCUGAGAUGUCAUGGUGGAGGAGGAUGGGGAGAAGCUACCUUGGGAACGCAGUACAGGGUGCUCUCCCCUCCAUGAGCCAUCCUUAUUUCAUCUAAUUAGAAAAAGACAGAGGGCCAGGUACCAUGAUCACCUAUUCAGCUUGAAGGAACUAAGCUCGGAGAGAUUCAGGGAUUGCUCAGUGUCCUGUAGUGGGUAAAGGAGAGUGUCAGCUUCAAAACCAAGUCUUCCUACUCCAUGUGGAUGAACCUCUUCUCCUAGACUGCACCAAGCACACGGGAUGCAGGACAGCGGGUACCUCCCUGAUGACAGAGACGGCAGGACCGCCACAUGGAGACUCUUACAGCUCUGAAGGUCAGAAAUCCAGAAGUCUUCAAGUGCUAGUUGAAAGUGAUGUUUGCUCAGUUGUGUCCAGCUCUUUGCGAUGCCAUGGACUAUACAGUCCAUAGAAUUCUUCAGGCCAGAAUACUGGAGCAUGUGUCACGCAUCAUCAUGUUCCCAGCACACCGCAUGGUGCCUGCCAUACAGUGGAGAAACAGAGGCACGGGGCAGAAGUAACUUACUCCAAAUCACCAGCUGAGAUAAGCAGAAAGAAGGAGUCUAUCAAGUUCUAAGGCUGGGCUCUUUCCACUCCGACACAAAUCUGCCAAGAAUGAGGGUCAAACUGCAAGCACGGAGUCACAGGCGUUGUCUGUAGACGGUGCUGGGUGUGACAGUCAGUCAUUCCAGCCUCCACUCCAGAGUUGAGUGAGCUGAAGCCCCAGCCCUGGCUGAACCAGCUUUUGUCUUCCACAAAUGCACUCGGCCGGGCAGGCGGCCCUGGAGGGCAUCAAAGGCCCCGCUGGCCGCAGACACAAGAGUACAGCGGUGCCAAGGCAUCUCCCCUGCCAGCUACCCACCACCCGCCAUGCAGCCUGGGAGAGUCACAAAGAGGAGGUGCCCGGUCUUACAACCGUUCCAGUGACCAUCACCACCGAGUCACAACGUGCCCCAGCAAGUAGCAGGCACACCUCCACGACGGGCUAACGACAGGACGGCUUUCCUCCUCCCUGGACAUCUGUGAACUAGGAUGUUCUGUUCUUCCCCCUUAGAGAGGAGACUAAGGCACGAGGCAGGCCAAUGUGCCCACCCAGCCACCAGGAGCCAGACACUUGUGUCGCUGAACGCCAGCCAUGAGCCAGAACAACAGGAGCCCUGCUUUGGCUGGUUUGUGCAGGUACAAUCCCAGGGUCUCUCCAAGAUGAGAGGGCAGAAGUCACAGAAGUCUGGGACCUGACAUACACCUGGACGCCCCUCUUGACUCCAUCACCAGCUGUGAUCUUGGACAAGUGACUGACCCCCAAGCCUUAGUACCGGGCACACAAUAAGUGCUCAAUAAACGUCCCAGGCUGGGAGUACAUCAGCACAUUGGAAG
This is a long non-coding RNA of Bos taurus (domestic cattle), 3959 nucleotides long. NCBI's taxonomy places the organism in Eukaryota, Metazoa, Chordata, Mammalia, Artiodactyla, Bovidae. The record is from Ensembl.